GAUGAAGAACGCAGCGAAAUGCGAUAAGUAGUGUGAAUUGCAGAAUUCAGUGAAUCAUCGAAUCUUUGAACGCACAUUGCGCCCUUUGGUAUUCCUUAGGGCAUGCCUGUUCGAGCGUCAUUUAAACCUUCAAGCUAAGCUUGGUGUUGGGUGACUGUCCGCUUCACGGCGGACUCGCCUCAAAAUUAUUGGCGGCCGGUACAUUGGCUUCGAGCGCAGCAGAAACGCGAACUCGGGCCCGUCGUAUUGGCUCCCAGAAGCUAUCUUCACAAUUUUGACCUCGGAUCAGGUAGGGAUACCCGCUGAACUUAAGCACAUCAAUAAGCGGAGGA
Molecule: unclassified non-coding RNA, 332 nt
Filed under: soil metagenome
Description: partial contains 5.8S ribosomal RNA, internal transcribed spacer 2, and large subunit ribosomal RNA
Rfam family: 5.8S ribosomal RNA (bases 1-120)
Source: RNAcentral